CAAUGUGACGGCGCAGGAUGAGUCCCUACCAUCUGUCCUCAACACCUCUUCAAACCUGUCAGAUAUGAGGAGAAGAUCUUCCAUCCCCGUUUGCUGACAUUCCUGCUCUAGUACAUGACCACAGCUACCUUCUCGUCCGAUUCGAUGUUCUUGUGGACAACAGUCUCUUGUACAUUUCAAGAUGUACAAUUAUACAAGUCUUGCAUAAUUAUGGGCUGAAAUUCAACAUGGUUGUAUAUUUAAGACAUGAAUAAUUCAAUUAAAAACAUUUCAAACUGAUUUUCAUAAUCAAAAAUUCAAGAAUUCAUAUUCACCUUUCAGAUUUCACUUCCAAAAUAUUCGAUCUAUUUAAAAAUACAACCUAUAAUAUUCAACAGGCAAGUUUCAGUCCAUUUUAUUUCGCUUUACAAAUUCGCUUCCACAAAUUCAGUGGUUCAAAUUCGACAGUAAAUUCACCGUUUCACAUCCGGGAACAACAGGAAAAUCAGUAGAUUACCGAUCACAAUCUCAUCUGCUGUAAAUCGUCUUCACCGGCAGGGGGUGCAAGCGCUACUUUGUCUUAACAAGCAUCAACGAAACCGUCACGAGAGGCCUUCAUAAAACAUCAUUUGACGAAAUGGACCGAGCGCAUUUGCUUUUGGAUUAUGUUUUGGAAAGACUCCGUUCACGCUUGGAAAAUGCUGUUGGACGCCAACCCCUUGACAUGGACUACCUGGAGUUCAUCUGCUCUCAAGAAUUAGUCUUUUUAAGUGCUGUGACCAAUUUAGUUACCAUCCCAGCUGAUAUUUUCGAGGGCAUCACAGAACUGCUCAGACUAGUUCGACUAAACCCGUCAGACGGGGAGACGCGCACUUCGACUAUUCUGCAGGAGUCAGGGUCGAUGGGACGACCACGUCUUCUAAUCUCACCAGACUACAUCACCAAUCUCCUGGACAUGAACUUUUCUGUUCCAACCAUUGCUUGCAUGCUUGGAGUAAGUACACGCGCAGUUUUCAGACGAAUGGUUGAAUGUAACCUCUCCAUUCGGGCGCGAUAUAGCACUCUCACGGACGAAGAGUUAGAUGAUUGUGUGAAAGAUGUAAAGCAACACAUGCCUCAGUGUGGAUACAGAAUGAUGAGAGCAGCUGUAAAGGACACCAAGUGCAGUUCGACCGGGUCAGGGCAGAUACAGUGGGAGUCAUGUCCCGAAGGGCACAGUUGGGCUGCGUGGUACGAAGGACCCAUUCAGUGUCAGGUCCUAGGUCAAUAAUGCACAUUGACACCAACUAUAAACGGAUUCGCUACAAUAUAGUCAUCUUUGGGGUGUGGAUGGCUUUUCACGCAAGAUAAUGUACCUUGGAGCUUCAUCUAAUAACCUUGCUAAAACCACCUUGGAUUUUUUUCAAGAAGCAGCGGAGACAUUUGGCUUCCCUCUCAGGGUACGAGGAGAUCAGGGUGUCGAAAAUGUGGACGUGGCUCGCCUGAUGUUCACAGUUCGUGGGACAGAAAGAGGAAGCUUUAUUUCAGGAAAGAGCGUCCACAAUCAGCGUAUAGAGAGGUUGUGGAGAGACGUCUGGUCAUCAGUGACAAAUGUCUACUACGAUGUUCUGCAUGCUUUGGAAGAAGGGAUUCAGCACACCACAGAUAGACUGGGAGAGUAGUGGACUGAUGUUGAUGCACAUUCCAGCAUUGUUGUGCCUCAAACCCAAUGUCCCCUGACUGAUGAGCGAAUAGAAGCACUCAGAGAAAAUGUUGACCCCAAAGGACCUUCACAGACUUUUGGCUGGGACAUCUAUCUAGCUGCACUUCAUUUUUGCCAAUCGAUUAUGGAAUAAAUGUGAUUGUCAUCUUUAGCCUUAAAGAGGCAGACUUCUAGCAGAAGCAAUUAAGAAAGAAUUAAUAUUUGUACUCAAUACGUUAAAGUAUCUGAAUAAAAAAAACCUGUAUGUAA
This is a long non-coding RNA of Carassius auratus (goldfish), 1930 nucleotides long. RefSeq lists it as uncharacterized. The record is from RefSeq and is a predicted model, not a curated record. The transcript is spliced from 7 exons. Lineage: Eukaryota; Metazoa; Chordata; Actinopteri; Cypriniformes; Cyprinidae.